This 3763-nucleotide long non-coding RNA is filed under the name Cavia porcellus (domestic guinea pig). Its description in RNAcentral is "lncRNA (ENSCPOG00000034169.1)". Lineage: Eukaryota; Metazoa; Chordata; Mammalia; Rodentia; Caviidae. The record is from RNAcentral.
AUGGGCUGCUGGGGGAAUAGCCAGAAACCAGCCUUUUCCCAUGAGUCAGCACCAUUUGCAGACGGCAGGGGAAGAGAACAAGAAACCUCCAAGAAACAAGCCCUCCCUGAGAAUUGGCACCAUGCUCAUGCUGCUGGAAGUACAGCCAGAUGCCAGCCUUUUCCCGUAAGUCAGAGCCAUUCGCAGACUACAGGGGAAGAGAACAAGAAGUCACCAAGAAGCAAGCCCUCACUGAGAAUCAGUGCCAUGCACUGCCACUCGACAGGAGCCAGAUGCCAGUUCCUUCUGGAGCAUGGGCUGGGAUAUAGGAAGAGCCAACACCCCACCUCACCCUCACCCCCACUCCACUCAGGAUGAAGAGAGGAAGGGAGAGACAGACAGAGAACCUGCACUUACCGUCUCAUCUAUAUUUUUCCUGGUGGGUAAAAAUCAAAUUUACUAUUAAAAGUUCAUAAUGGGGGAGGCCAGGGGCUUAGCUCAGUGGUGUAAGCACCUGCCUGGCAAGCACAAGGUUGUUUGAUCCCCGGUACCAAAAAAAAAAAGUUCAUAAUGGGCUUUUCAUGAAUGGGAAUUUCUCCAUAAAACAGCGUGCUGUUACAGAGUGUGCAACAUGAAAAGAAUACCAUUAUGCUAUCUAGUGUGACUGGCAAACUAUAGUCACUUUGUAAAGGGAAGGCAGAGAUUUGAAAAUUUAUGCAACCAAAGUUCAGAUAACCUUUCCUGUAGCUCAAACUGUGACAACUUUCUGCCUAGGCACUCUAAAAUCUGAAUUCUUAGUAUUGUUUAUCAUAUUUGAAAUUAUGGUGUGUAUAUGAAAAGUGUUGAUACUAGAUUCAUAUCUUCUAAUAUAUUUGUGUUCUAUUAGCCAUUCUAUUUGCCCUUUUAUCAUUUUCAUUUGUGGUAAGAACAUAUUUUUCAAAUUUUCUACUAAUUUAGUCUGCAGCUGAGCAUUACUAAUUUUCUUUCUGAUUUGCAUUAUUUGUAUGAUAGUUUGUUGGGUUCUCAGUAUUCUAAGUUGAACUGAUUACUUCGUUGUCUUCUCUCUUCUACAGUGACCUACAAGUGUCCAAUGAAGCUGAUUUUACCCCUUUUCUGAACUUUUACAUUUUUUAUUAAACUGAACUCUUAAUUCACUGAGAAGCCUGUUUACAUAACCUGCUGGCAUCCCAACUUCUUUUAACCACUCUAUCAUAUAUUUUUCAAUUUUACUAUUUGGGGAGAUAUCUAAUAGAAGACUGUUGAGCUUUGUGAUACCUCAUAAAAAAAUCUUUGUUUUGGACCAGUAGCACUUUAAAUAUGAUAAUAUCAUUUGUAACAGCUUUAUACACCUUAUCUCUUGCAGUAAGAAAUCAUGGAUCAUCUUGAAAAGCUGCUUUGUUGAGUUUACUAAAUCUAUUAAAUAGUGUAGGUAACUGCUCUACAGUUUUUACAGCACCAUUUACUGAAGAGUCUCUUCCAGUAAAGAUAUUUGGCCUCUUUGUCAAGGAUAAGGUGGCUGAGUGUAUUUAUAAUUGUGUCUGCAUCUUCUAAUCCACUGAUCUUCAAGUCUGUUUUGUUUUGUUUUGUUUCCAGUAUCAUACAGAUUUUAUCAUAGUAGCUUUGUAGUAUAAUUUCAAGUCAGGGUUUGUGAUGGCUUCUGCAUUGCUUUUGUUGUUCAGAAUUGCUUUUGUUAUUCUAGGUCUCUUUUAGUUCCAAUGAAUUUCCUGUAGUUCUGGGAGGCAUGCUAAUGGUAUUUUGCCUGGGAUAGCAUUAAGUCUAUAUAACAAUUUUGGGAGUAAUCAGGCCAGGACAUAUGAUGUGUUCCUUCCAAAGUUCCCAUUACAAAUUUUGCUCAUCAAUGAAAAUACUGAAUAUAAGUUCUCAGUUUCAUUUCACUGAUUCAUGCCUUGAUGCUCCACUGGGUUAAUCUCUUUAAAUGAUGUCACUAAGACAUUCACACAGUAUUACAUGAGUGCUUCAGCAGUUACAUUUUUCUCUUAUUUCUAAAUAAUGUACUCAUUUUUCUUCUUUUAAUUAGCAUCUGCGUAUUCCAUACAAUUCUGUACACUAUUUUGUUGUAAAUAUGAGGGUGUUUCUAUAAAAUCUCUGUUGAAUCCAAGUAUUUCUUCUCAUAAUUGUCCCUAUAAUUCUGAAGCUUAACCACAGAAUUAGAACAAAGAUUAACAUAGAUCUCUCUUACUCCAGUGACCAGCUGAGAAUCAAAAGCUUCUAAUCUUUUUGCAUGUACGAGCUUCAUUGCAUUAUCUUGUAGCCUGCCAUUAAUAUUUGAGAAAAUUGAUACAUUCCAUGUACAAAGUAUGAGCUUUCACAUCACAUUUUUUAAAAAUUACAGACCUCGGGGCUGGAUAUUUAGCUCAGCGGCAUAAGCGCCUGCCCUGCAAGCAGGCAGUCGUGAGUUCGAUCCCCGGUACUGAUAAAAAGGAAAAAGACAAAAAAAAAAAAAAAAAAAAUUACAGACCUCUACCCAUUAAAAUAAUCUGUAGUUGACCAACCAAUGUAAAAUAUCACAUUGUGUAAAGAAUUCCUGCCUAUUCAACAAUAGACGCUUUUAGCAAAGCUGUGUCAUCUUGAUAGGUUAAUGGGUGCCUAGACUUGCUUUGUAAGUUCAAGCAUAUCCUCUUUUAAAGCCUGAUGACUUUUUGCUGGACUUUUAUCAUCCGAGAGACAGAUUAUGUAAAUGUCAGAAAACAAGUCAAACCACAGUUGUUUUAUAACAGAUUCCUGUUUUAAAGUUUUAAAGUUUCCUGUUUUGAAGUUUACUUCAAAACAAUCAGAUGCAUAAAAUCCUACUUGUUUUUAAGCUGCAGAGAGCCUUUAUUUAAUGCAUGAGACAUCGCCAUCUCUUUCAACUCUGACUCUUGCUGCAAGAGGAGGUGGUGUUUCUGACCAGGCCAUAGGCAGAGGUCCACAAGACCCAAAGGGCCCAGCCACCCACAGGGUUAGUGUAGGUCUGGAGCUUCCUUAAAUAAUGUGGUGAAUGAUAUGGUAAGGGGAGCCAACCUGAUUUAGAAAAGAAAGCAUGGACUCCACUUCCUCAUCUGCUUUGAAAUAAUGUUAUGGUUUGUAUCUGGGUGUCCCCUCAAAGCCUCAUGCAGUCAUGGUGGUGGCUGAGUCUAUUGUUUGUGAUUGGUUUGCUGUCUAGCGUAGGGAUUGGCGGUGUGAACACUGCACCCACCCAGGAGUGGGUAGUUGGCAUAUCAUAUGAGGGAGGGAAAGAGGCAUGCUUUUCCCUUACGCCCUUCUUGCUCUUGUGGCUGUAACUGCCAUGAACAGUUGCCACUUAGCCAUGCCACCCUGCCUUGUAGCCAGCCGAGUAUGGUUGAAACCUCUAUAAACUGUAAGCUAAGUAAACCUUUCCUUUCUUCAUCUUGGGCAUCAAGUAUUUUGUCUCAGCAAGGAGAAAAAAGUAACCAAGACACCUAGAUAUUUAUGUUUAAAGCAAUGAUGUCAUUCAGGGGCAGGAAGGCAGGGUGUGGCAAAGCUGAUUGUCAGAGUAAGUUUGACCUGAUUUGAGGACACCUGCACCAGAUAAUUCCCAAGGCCCCAUAUGUGGAAUUCUACUGGGUUCCUGUGAUGUGUGGAAGAAAUAAGAGGACACAGAUGCCAUGAGGAGCUUGCUACCCAGUAUCCUGCCCUGUGUUCCCCAGGGUGCACUUUUAUUUUUAUUUUUCGUCUCUUACUCUACCCAAAUUUGCUCUGCAGAGCUAAUUUCUCCCUUACCUUUCACUCUUAAUUUUUCAAAUAAACUUUGCUACUGUUUUUA